AAGAGAAUGAAGAUCCUAAAAGAAGCUGCUAACUAUCUUUUAAAGCGGUUAAAUUCCGUUUUUCUCUUCCCAA
Molecule: transfer RNA, 73 nt
Filed under: Triatoma rubrofasciata (large kissing bug)
Lineage: Eukaryota; Metazoa; Arthropoda; Insecta; Hemiptera; Reduviidae
Description: tRNA-Ser
Source: RNAcentral